RNAcentral lists this ribosomal RNA (473 nucleotides) under uncultured bacterium. Its description in RNAcentral is "partial 16S ribosomal RNA". It matches the Rfam family "Bacterial small subunit ribosomal RNA", at positions 28 to 507 of the family's 1533-position model. The record is from RNAcentral.
GAUGAACGCUAGCGGCAGGCCUAAUACAUGCAAGUCGAACGGGCGGUAGCAAUACCGCUAGUGGCGCACGGGUGCGUAACGCGUAACCAACCUGCCCAGAUCUGGGGGAUAGCCCGCCGAAAGGCGGAUUAAUACCGCAUAAACCCACAGUGUGGCAUCACAUAAUGGGUAAAGAUUUAUCGGAUCUGGAUGGGGUUGCGUAGCAUUAGCUAGUUGGCGGGGUAAUGGCACACCAAGGCGACGAUGCUUAGGGGACCUGAGAGGGUGAUCCCCCACACUGGCACUGGGACACGAGCCAGACGGCUACGGGAGGCAGCGGUAGGGAAUAUUGGGCAAUGGGCGUGAGCCUGACCCAGCCAUGCCGCGUGGCGGAUGAAGGCCUUCUGGGUUGUAAACGGCUUUUCUCAGGGAAGAAAACGGGGAUGCGUCCUCAACUGACGGUACCUGAGGAAUAAGCACCGGCUAACUCCGUG